UGGGGAAUAUUGGACAAUGGGCGCAAGCCUGAUCCAGCCAUGCCGCGUGAGUGAUGAAGGCCUUAGGGUUGUAAAGCUCUUUCGCCGGUGAAGAUAAUGACGGUAACCGGAGAAGAAGCCCCGGCUAACUUCGUGCCAGCAGCCGCGGUAAUACGAAGGGGGCUAGCGUUGCUCGGAAUCACUGGGCGUAAAGCGCACGUAGGCGGAUCGUUAAGUCAGGGGUGAAAUCCUGGAGCUCAGCUCCAGAACUGCCCUUGAUACUGGCGAUCUCGAGUUCGAGAGAGGUUGGUGGAACUCCGAGUGUAGAGGUGAAAUUCGUAGAUAUUCGGAAGAACACCAGUGGCGAAGGCGGCCAACUGGCUCGAUACUGACGCUGAGGUGCGAAAGCGUGGGGAGCAAAACAGGAUUAGAUACCCUGGUAGUCCACGCCGUAAAACGAUGGAUGCUAGCCGUUGGGGGGUUUACCUCUCAGUGGCGCAGCUAACGCCUUAAGCAUCCCGCCUGGGGAGUACGGUCGCAAGAUUAAAACUCAAAGGAAUUGACGGGGUCAUAGCUGUUU
This 559-nucleotide ribosomal RNA is filed under the name uncultured bacterium. RNAcentral describes it as "partial 16S ribosomal RNA". It matches the Rfam family "Bacterial small subunit ribosomal RNA", at positions 355 to 935 of the family's 1533-position model. The record is from RNAcentral.